RNAcentral lists this ribosomal RNA (402 nucleotides) under uncultured bacterium. RNAcentral describes it as "bacterial SSU rRNA". It matches the Rfam family "Bacterial small subunit ribosomal RNA", at positions 355 to 774 of the family's 1533-position model. The record is from RNAcentral.
UGGGGAAUCUUGGACAAUGGGGGCAACCCUGAUCCAGCGAUGCCGCGUGAGCGAAGAAGGCCUUAGGGUUGUAAAGCUCUUUCGCCCGCGACGAUGAUGACGGUACCGGGAGAAGAAGCUGCGGCUAACUACGUGCCAGCAGCCGCGGUAAUACGUAGGCGGCAAGCGUUGUUCGGAGUUACUGGGCGUAAAGAGUGCGUAGGCGGUUUUCUAAGUUCGGUGUGAAAUCUCCCGGCUUAACUGGGAGGGUGCGCCGAAGACUGGGAAGCUGGAGUGUGGGAAAGGCAGGCGGAAUUCCUGGUGUAGCGGUGAAAUGCGUAGAUAUCAGGAGGAACACCGGCGGUGUAGACGGCUUGCUAAACCAUAACUGACGCUGAGGCACGAAAGCGUGGGUAGCAAACA